GAAAGAUCAUUAUUUGCUGAUGCAACCAGAGCCUGCUGCCGUAGUACCUGAUUCUCAGAUUCUAGGUUGGACAAGUUCAAUUCUAAUCUUUCAAUGGUCUCUUGGAGUUGCAUUGCUUUAAGCUGUGCUUCUUCUGCCUCUCUUAGUCUUGUGUUGCUCUGGUUUUCUAGUUUACUACACUUGUCUUCAAAUUCCUCCAUUUUCAUCUUCAUCUCUCUUAGCUUAUCCUCCAGUUCCUCAUUUUGAUUCCUUAGUAACUCUAUUUUGGUGUUGUCCACAAUCGGAACCUCUUUGAUGACUGAUGGGGCUUGUUCUAUAGCCAACUUUGCUGCUUCUUUCUCCCGGAUAAUUGCAGCAUAGGCUUCAUCCAGCUCUCCUUGCAUUUCAUGCAGUGCAUUUUGUAACUUUGCAAUUUCUUGCCCUUUGGCUUCUUCGAGAUCAAUCCUCAAGUGCUUUUCAAAUUCCAGUCGCCAUGUUAACUCUUCAACGCGCUUCUCUAGUUUGUCCUUAGCUUCUUUAAGUGCCCCUGUUUCUCUUGCAGCCAUCCUCAGCUUUCUAAGCUCCUUUCUUGCUACCUUUGCUCUCCAGAGACAUUGAAGUGUAAGAGUUGCUUUCUUUUGCUGUUUAUAAGCAGAAAGAGCUUGGAACCUUCUCCAUUGAGUCUGAAUAAUAGUUGCAGCCUUUGUUCUUCUUCUGUAUCUAUAUUCAUUUCGUGCUGCCAUUGCACGUAAUCCAGUUUGAAUGAAUAUUGCUGAUGUCUGUAAAUUUGUGUAAAAUCUUCUUGCUGUAUGAGCACGAACAUUUUUUUGUAGACGGAUGGAGGCUGCUUCUUCUCUCAUCUGUUCAUAUAGCUUACGUGCAAGUUGUGCUCUCCAGAGUUUUUGCAUAUGGACUGAAGCCCUCCGUAGGCCUAUGAAUUCCUUUCUGGUUAGAAGUGUUCGAAUUUGUCUUUGGAUUCGUCUAGCAGAACUAGCCAAGACCUCAGUUCUUCGUGCAUCUAACUCAGCCAUCUGCCCAGCUCUAAGGAACACCUUUGUUUUCCCCAUCUGGUAACCCCUUAAACCCAUCCUCUCCAAGAUGGCAAUGCAUGCUGAUUUUUCAUCUGACCCUUCUAGAACAUCAGGAGUAAGCAUUCCAAAACGAUCAAGGAACUCAUCAAAUGUUCUUUUUGUUGGAUACCCAGCACAACUUAUCCUAAUUGCCUCCAGUACACCCCCGCAUCUUAAUUGGUUUAACACGUUGAAGUUCUCAAAUAUUCCAGGCCUCAAAAGUGUAUUUGGCUUUACACAUCUGAUAUAAUGUGGCUCUGUUGUGUUCAGUGUCUCCAUUAAAGCUUGUAAUUGUUGCUUGAAGCGGAUACCAAUGGAAGAGAACUUGGAUUGCUUGGAUGUCUCUUCAGGUAAUGGAGGGAAAAGAUUAGCAACAAAAGGGCAUUUGGAUGCAUUUAACAAGGCUUGAUGCUCUGCUACGACAUAAUCUUUAUUUUUAUCAAGAAAUUGAUCAGCUUGGUACGUAACAUCUCCUGCAUAGUGAUUGAUUGUGAAGUCUGUUCGAGCAAGUUUUGGCUUGCUGAAGCGUCUGUGUCCCUUGUAUGUCUGGUACAUCUUCUGUGCAAAUGUCUCAUGAGU
This 1628-nucleotide unclassified non-coding RNA is filed under the name Hevea brasiliensis (rubber tree). Lineage: Eukaryota; Viridiplantae; Streptophyta; Magnoliopsida; Malpighiales; Euphorbiaceae. The record is from RNAcentral.